Molecule: ribosomal RNA, 569 nt
Filed under: uncultured archaeon
Lineage: Archaea
Description: bacterial SSU rRNA
Rfam family: Archaeal small subunit ribosomal RNA
Source: RNAcentral
CCGCGAAUUCGCCCUUCGGGGUGCACCAGGCGCGAAACCUUUACAAUGCUGGCAACGGCGAUAGGGGGACCUCGAGUGCCAGGUUACAAAUCUGGCUGUCGUUGUGUCUAAAAAACACGAUAUAGCAAGGGCCGGGCAAGACCGGUGCCAGCCGCCGCGGUAACACCGGCGGCUCGAGUGGUAACCGUUAUUAUUGGGUUUAAAGGGUCUGUAGCCGGCCUGGUUAGUCCUUUGGGAAAUCCGGCAGCUCAACUGUCGGGCUUUCAGAGGAUACUGCCAGGCUCGAGACCGGGAGAGGUAAGAGGUACUUCAGGGGUAGGGGUGAAAUCUUGUAAUCCUUGAAGGACCACCAGUGGCGAAGGCGUCUUACCAGAACGGAUCUGACGGCAAGGGACGAAAGCUAGGGGCACGAACCGGAUUAGAUACCCGGGUAGUCCUAGCCGUAAACGAUACUCGCUAGGUGUCGGCCACGGUGCGACCGUGGUCGGUGCCGUAGGGAAACCGUGAAGCGAGCCACCUGGGAAGUACGGCCGCAAGGCUGAAACUUAAAGGAAUUGGCGGGGGAGCAC